RNAcentral lists this transfer RNA (70 nucleotides) under Monomorium pharaonis (pharaoh ant). RNAcentral describes it as "tRNA-Asp". The record is from RNAcentral. Lineage: Eukaryota; Metazoa; Arthropoda; Insecta; Hymenoptera; Formicidae.
AAAGAAUUAGUUAAUUUAAUAACAUUAAAAUGUCAAUUUAAAAUAAUACUCAUAUACUGUAUAUUCUUUU